RNAcentral lists this long non-coding RNA (549 nucleotides) under Mus pahari (shrew mouse). RNAcentral's name for it is "lncRNA (MGP_PahariEiJ_G0005260.1)". Lineage: Eukaryota; Metazoa; Chordata; Mammalia; Rodentia; Muridae. The record is from RNAcentral.
UACUCAUGUCUGAAUAUGGCUAAAGGAGUGACUUGGCUUUUCUAGGGUCCAGUUCUUUAAGUACUAAAUAAGAGCAACAUAGGGGACAACUAGAUAGCCAACCACGUAACUUGGUGACUCAGAAGUUCUUGUGUCUAUGCUUCAUGGAUGGGAAUAGCCCUAAGAUGGGCACACCAGGAAGGCUUGUGGGAUGAGUGGAGUGAGCAAGCAUCAAAGCAGGAAAGAGAGCACAAUGGGAUGACCCACUUUGCACAUGAGGGUCCAUCCAGGAGGAGAAGCCCAAACUCCAGAGUCUGCUGAGCAUUCUGCACAAGAGGCGGUUCAAGGGGACAAGAGAGAAGAAAUGGAUCUUUAAAAGUACCAUAGCCAGGGUUUCACGAAGUAGGAAGAUAAUUUUGAAUAUCAAGAGCAAUCACCCACAAGAAAAUAUCAAUUGAGGGACACGGGAUCGUCAUGAAAGAGGGGAUGCCUGCACAUCAUGGAUAAGGGUCUCCGUGUUCAGAGCUAGCAUCAUGGCGGAGGAACCUCAGCUUCUUCAUGGUGCUUCCA